This 260-nucleotide ribosomal RNA is filed under the name uncultured bacterium. RNAcentral describes it as "partial small subunit ribosomal RNA". It matches the Rfam family "Bacterial small subunit ribosomal RNA", at positions 26 to 288 of the family's 1533-position model. The record is from RNAcentral.
AGGACGAACGCUGGCGGCGUGCUUAACACAUGCAAGUCGAGCGGAAAGGCCCUUCGGGGUACUCGAGCGGCGAACGGGUGAGUAACACGUGAGCAACCUGCCCCUGGCUCUGGGAUAGCCUCCGGAAACGGGGAUUAAUACCGGACAUUCUCCGCCUUCCGCAUGGUUGGCGGUGGAAAGUUUUUUCGGCCGGGGAGGGGCUCGCGGCCUAUCAGGCUUGUUGGCGGGGUAACGGCCCACCAAGGCGACGACGGGUAGCC